This 497-nucleotide ribosomal RNA is filed under the name uncultured bacterium. RNAcentral's name for it is "partial 16S ribosomal RNA". It matches the Rfam family "Bacterial small subunit ribosomal RNA", at positions 28 to 507 of the family's 1533-position model. The record is from RNAcentral.
GACGAACGCUGGCGGCGUGCCUAAUACAUGCAAGUUGAGCGAUGAAGAUUGGUGCUUGCACCAAUUUGAAGAGCAGCGAACGGGUGAGUAACGCGUGGGGAAUCUGCCUUUGAGCGGGGGACAACAUUUGGAAACGAAUGCUAAUACCGCAUAACAACUUUAAACAUAAGUUUUAAGUUUGAAAGAUGCAAUUGCAUCACUCAAAGAUGAUCCCGCGUUGUAUUAGCUAGUUGGUGAGGUAAAGGCUCACCAAGGCGAGGAUACAUAGCCGACCUGAGAGGGUGAUCGGCCACAUUGGGACUGAGACACGGCCCAAACGCCUACGGGAGGCAGCAGUAGGGAAUCUUGGGCCAUGGACGAAAGUCUGACCGAGCAACGCCGCGUGAGGGAAGAAGGUUGUCGGAUCGUAAAACUCUGUUGGUAGAGAAGAACGUUGGUGAGAGUGGAAAGCUCAUCAAGUGACGGUAACUACCCAGAAAGGGACGGCUAACUACGUG